GAUUACGUGAGGCUGUGUUCAUGUGUGUGACUGAUAUGCCUACAGCACACACACACACACACACACACACACACACACACACACAC
RNAcentral lists this microRNA precursor (86 nucleotides) under Tetraodon nigroviridis (spotted green pufferfish). RNAcentral's name for it is "miRNA (ENSTNIG00000020264.1)". The record is from RNAcentral. Lineage: Eukaryota; Metazoa; Chordata; Actinopteri; Tetraodontiformes; Tetraodontidae.